RNAcentral lists this long non-coding RNA (863 nucleotides) under Cricetulus griseus (Chinese hamster). RNAcentral's name for it is "lncRNA (ENSCGRG00015037400.1)". The record is from RNAcentral. Lineage: Eukaryota; Metazoa; Chordata; Mammalia; Rodentia; Cricetidae.
UCUCAAGUGAACCUUCACUUGGAAAUUGCAAUGGCCUCCAGCAAGGAGGAUGACUAAGAGCUCGUCAGAGUGUCACUCUGUCCUGAAUCAGUCAUGCCUUGGACACAGUUAACACCUGGUUGUAUAGAAGCCCUGAAGAUUUGUAAAGUUCACACUCGAGACAAGCAGGGGUCCUCGGCUACCAUGGGGGAUAGACAUUUGGAGGCAUCAUUUUGACUCAUCAGGGAGGAGUCCAGGGCCAUCAACAGAGAAGUGGUGGCUGUGCGGGUAAAAUCAAAGCCAUUACUGUGCUGACCUUCUCUUGGUGAAAAUGAUGGAGAUUACCAAGUGAGAACCUUUAAAAGGCCGAAAGGCUGGCCUUGAACUCCCUAUGAAGCCAAGGAUGACCUUCAACUUCCGAUCCUUCUGCCUCCGCUUUUGAAGUGCUGAGAUAACAGUCAUGUGUUACCACAUGCCCAGGAAAAUGUGAUACUUGGCCAGCUAUGAAGAGAGCAGAAACAACUGCGGUCCUUCGUUUCCUUGUUGGAACCCAUGAGUUGUUGAGAUCAUCAGGGAACAAUACUUUCAUCCACUGAGACAGCUGCCAGAUGUUGAUGGCAAAGAGCAAACAAGAGAACAAGGAUACAAAAGAUAUGAUAGCUUUCCAAUCUUAUGGGGCAAGAAGCCAAUUAACUCUGAGAAAUUCCUAAGGGAGUCAUCAUAUCAUAUAAAACUAGUUCUGCUGGAUCCAUGAAAAUGAAAAACCAAGGCCCCAAAGGCCAUCAUUGCACUCAGGCCAUACUAUGCUUGUGACAUACUGAGUAGUAUGCACAUUGCACACACUUCAGAGUUUGGAAGGAGACAUCACCAUGAUGUGUGGCAAG